UACGUAGGGUCCAAGCGUUGUCCGGAAUUAUUGGGCGUAAAGAGCUCGUAGGCGGUGUGUCGCGUCGGAUGUGAAAGCCCGGGGCUUAACCCCGGGUCUGCAUUCGGUACGGGCAUGCUGGAGUGCGGUAGGGGAGAUUGGAAUUCCUGGUGUAGCGGUGGAAUGCGCAGAUAUCAGGAGGAACACCGAAAGCGAAGGCAGGCCACUGGGUGUCACCUGACACUGCUAGGACGAAAGCGUGGGGAGCGAAUGGG
This 254-nucleotide ribosomal RNA is filed under the name uncultured bacterium. RNAcentral describes it as "partial 16S ribosomal RNA". It matches the Rfam family "Bacterial small subunit ribosomal RNA", at positions 524 to 776 of the family's 1533-position model. The record is from RNAcentral.